ACGUAGGAUCCAAGCGUUAUCCGGAUUUACUGGGCGUAAAGAGUUGCGUAGGUGGCAGAGUAAGUAAACAGUGAAAUCGUGUGGCUCAACCAUACUCACAUUGUUUAAACUGCUCAGCUUGAAGAUGAGAGAGGUCACUGGAAUUCCUUGUGUAGGAGUGAAAUCCGUAGAUAUAAGGAGGAACACCGAUGGCGUAGGCAGGUGACUGGCUCACUCUUGACACUAAGGCACGAAAGCGUGGGGAGCAAACGGGA
RNAcentral lists this ribosomal RNA (254 nucleotides) under uncultured prokaryote. RNAcentral's name for it is "partial 16S ribosomal RNA". It matches the Rfam family "Bacterial small subunit ribosomal RNA", at positions 525 to 777 of the family's 1533-position model. The record is from RNAcentral.